Molecule: long non-coding RNA, 544 nt
Organism: Salvia splendens (bonfire salvia)
Lineage: Eukaryota; Viridiplantae; Streptophyta; Magnoliopsida; Lamiales; Lamiaceae
Exons: 7
Source: RefSeq, a predicted model, not a curated record
AAAUCUAUACUAAAGAUUUGUUCUCAUCUGUACAAUAGCAUAUAUAAGGCAACAAAAUGAACGGAAAGGGCACCGAUGAAAGCGGUGGAAUGUCAUAUGGGUUUGUAAACUAACAGAGGACGUAAACUGAAGGUAUUAUACUACUGAAGAAGGAGAUAAAAGAAAGGAAAGGAAUGCCAAGAAGAUCUUUUAAAAGCAUGGAAUACAAAAGAGGCUCAUUGAAACCCUAAAAAAAGCAGCUGCAUCCUCUCUACCCAAACGAAAAAGUGAGACGAAAAUAUCGACAUAGGCUGGUAUCUACCUACACAGAGCUUGGAAAGGUGCAGAAGAGUGAUUCAUCCAUGAGAAACUCUUCAGCUACACCUGCAGAUGUGGAAAAUCGGUGCUAAUCAAAAGAUUACCAAAUAUUUGAGGAUGAGAAACUAUGUAUCUCUACACAGUUUGAAGUGCAAAGGUUACCAAAGGAUUUAAGGAUGAGAAAUUUUGAAACUCUCAUCGUCUAAGUGCAAAGGUUAUGAAUUUAUUUAAGGUACAUAUGGAAGGA